GUGAACGCUGGCGGUAGGCCUAACACAUGCAAGUCGAACGGCAGCACAGUAAGAGCUUGCUCUUACGGGUGGCGAGUGGCGGACGGGUGAGGAAUACAUCGGAGUCUACUUUUUCGUGGGGGAUAACGUAGGGAAACUUACGCUAAUACCGCAUACGACCUACGGGUGAAAGCAGGGGAUCUUCGGACCUUGCGCGAUUGAAUGAGCCGAUGUCGGAUUAGCUAGUUGGCGGGGUAAAGGCCCACCAAGGCGACGAUCCGUAGCUGGUCUGAGAGGAUGAUCAGCCACACUGGAACUGAGACACGGUCCAGACUCCUACGGGAGGCAGCAGUGGGGAAUAUUGGACAAUGGGCGCAAGCCUGAUCCAGCCAUACCGCGUGGGUGAAGAAGGCCUUCGGGUUGUAAAGCCCUUUUGUUGGGAAAGAAAAGCAGCAGGUUAAUACCCCGCUGUUCUGACGGUACCCAAAGAAUAAGCACCGGCUAACUUCGUG
This 491-nucleotide ribosomal RNA is filed under the name uncultured bacterium. Its description in RNAcentral is "partial 16S ribosomal RNA". It matches the Rfam family "Bacterial small subunit ribosomal RNA", at positions 29 to 507 of the family's 1533-position model. The record is from RNAcentral.